RNAcentral lists this transfer RNA (72 nucleotides) under Camelus bactrianus (Bactrian camel). It matches the Rfam family "tRNA". From Rfam's summary of the family: Transfer RNA (tRNA) molecules are approximately 80 nucleotides in length. RNAcentral also lists the same sequence under 2 other names. Lineage: Eukaryota; Metazoa; Chordata; Mammalia; Artiodactyla; Camelidae. The record is from Rfam by way of RNAcentral.
AGAGAAAUAGGUCAGUGAUAGAGCUCAUGUUUAGCAUGCAUGAGGUCCUGGGUUCAAUUCCUAGUACCUCUG